Non-coding RNA from Odocoileus virginianus texanus, 513 nucleotides. Lineage: Eukaryota; Metazoa; Chordata; Mammalia; Artiodactyla; Cervidae. The record is from RefSeq and is a predicted model, not a curated record.
UCCAGCCUUGUGGUGUUGAGUGACAGCUGUGGUAGAAUGGACAGCCAGGUACCAUAUUUCAAUAUGUAGUCUCCAGUUUUGAUGAUGUCAAGAAAAGAUUCUGAGAAAUUCAUGAAUGACCAGUUUUUAUGACCAUGGAUGCACUGAUGACAUCAUUGCUGACUGUCCCAGGGAGAAGCAUUGGACUCUCCAUUUGAGAAACAACUGCUUUAAAAUAGCCAAAGUCAUAAAUCAAAGAACAACAGUAUGAAGAUUGUUCUUCGAUCUUCCAAUGUCAAAGCAAAGCUAUUUAUGGAGAUAACAACUGAAUGCUGUGCACACUUCUUCUUCUUGAAGGCUGUUCUCUAAGGCAGAAUUAUCCAAAAUAGCCAACUCAUCCCUCCUUUCAGCAAUUCCAAAAUUAUAGAGCCAGUGAUCAAUAGUGUGGUGUCAAGCUUGAAUAAAGUCUCUAAGAAAAGUAAAAAUUAAGAAGAUAGAUGUAUCUAUAUGUGAAAAAAAAAUAGGACUGAGAGG